UUUAAUUAGUAUAAAAAGUACAUUUAAUUUCCAAUUAAAUAGUUUCUUAAAGAAAUUAAAU
RNAcentral lists this transfer RNA (61 nucleotides) under Rhipicephalus turanicus. RNAcentral's name for it is "tRNA-Gly". Lineage: Eukaryota; Metazoa; Arthropoda; Arachnida; Ixodida; Ixodidae. The record is from RNAcentral.